GAUGUUUGAAAAUUAAAAUUACGCUUAGCCACACAUGUUCUUGGUGCAUUUGUUAGUCCUCUCCAUCAAGUGUAGCACUUUAACAAUAUUUAUUUCAGGUUCUAGGAUUUUCCUUCAUACUGUGAAUAGUUCAAUAAUUUUUUCUUCAAUAAUUUUUUAUUCAAAAAAUGAAUACCUUAAAUAAUUUAAUUUUGAGUUCUCAACCUGUCAAGAAAAGAGGAAAAGUAACGAGGAAGAAAAUCUAUUGAAGCUUAAUUUCUUGUAGAAACCUCUUCAGUUCUUCAUUUUGUUUUCUCCAGUCAUCCUCUCUGAUUUCCCCCCUGCCUCUAACGAAUAGAUAAUCUAACAAACUUGGAAGAAAUUAUUUAUUUACAUUUUUUUCUAAACUUGAGCAGGAAUAAAAGAAAGAAGAUAGAAAAACGGAAGGCAGGAUCAUCGACAGAGCGAGAACUUGACACCUCCUCGUCUAAAAGUAAAUGCAGUAAAUCUGGAGAGAAUUCUCUAGCAAACGCCAUUUGCAUUGAAAAUGAUCGGGGGGAUGAGACAAAUGAAACAAAUGUCUCAUCAAACGACCAUCCGGAUGGAGCAAAGCAUACAGUCGAUCCACUGACAGAAACAUCGACGAGUGACAUUGAACCUAACAACUAGACCCACCAGAAUGUAAUCCCAAUCUUCUAUGGAAUCAAAUUUAUCUUGGAUCUGGAAUUUUGGAGCAGUGUAGGAAAAAAACUGAAGAUUGCCUACAGCUGAGAAUGCAUCCCGGAUUACCGUUCCUACCCUUUCGCUAAGAAAAACACUUUGAGUAAUCUAGUUUGCUUGUCGGAUUUUCGUUUGCUACUACUGUAGCUUAAUAUUGUGUGAUCAUACCCGACGCAAAACACCUGAGGGCAUUUCUUGUUUCCCUUGUUCCUUUAUUUGGAAGGCUGGCUUUUAAAUUUUUUUUAUAUGAAUUAAUAUUAUGGUAAUUACUAAUUAUGUACUUUUUA
Molecule: long non-coding RNA, 986 nt
Organism: Olea europaea var. sylvestris
Lineage: Eukaryota; Viridiplantae; Streptophyta; Magnoliopsida; Lamiales; Oleaceae
Exons: 2
Source: RefSeq, a predicted model, not a curated record